UACGUAGGGCGCAAGCGUUGUCCGGAAUUAUUGGGCGUAAAGAGCUCGUAGGCGGUCUGUCGCGUCCGUUGUGAAAACUCGAGGCUCAACCUCGGGCGUGCAGUGGAUACGGGCAGACUAGAGUGCGGUAGGGGAGACUGGAAUUCCUGGUGUAGCGGUGGAAUGCGCAGAUAUCAGGAGGAACACCGAUGGCGAAGGCAGGUCUCUGGGCCGCAACUGACGCUGAGGAGCGAAAGCAUGGGGAGCGAACAGG
Molecule: ribosomal RNA, 253 nt
Filed under: uncultured bacterium
Lineage: Bacteria
Description: partial 16S ribosomal RNA
Rfam family: Bacterial small subunit ribosomal RNA
Source: RNAcentral